GGGUCGAUGGCGUAGCUGGUUAUCGCAUCUGUCUAACAUAAUUAUUUAUGUAAUAAUCUUCACAGAAGGUCCUCAGUUCGAACCUGGGUCGACUCA
This is a non-coding RNA of Desarmillaria ectypa, 96 nucleotides long. Lineage: Eukaryota; Fungi; Basidiomycota; Agaricomycetes; Agaricales; Physalacriaceae. The record is from the annotation of a GenBank genome assembly.